CUGAUCCUCCUAGUCAAAGCUAUAGGGUUGUUGGGAAGCAAUAGGUGGUAUAACCACUUUAAUUCUAUUUCUGAUACCAUGCUACAGGAUGCUUUUCAAUCUGUGGCUACAUUUACAUUAGUAAGUCAUUUGGCACAGUAAGAGAGUGUCUGUAACGUGUAACAACACCACAGGCUAACUGCUUUGCCCCACCAGCCAGCCACAGCUGGAGUGCAUUAAAGGCACUCCUGGAGUGCAUCUUCUGCUUUGGGCUUCAUCCAGAAGGGAUGCAGCUGGUGCACUCUGAAAACCAAAGCAUGUGCUGCCAGGGCAAUGAGGGAGAGAGUCACCUCAAAAGUGCACUACUAACCCCAGCCAGAAAGAUCCUACUGUCACAGCCUGCUGUGUGGGCAGCAGCAUCUGCAGGGCACGCCUCACUGCCCAAAAUAAGCCUUGCUGAGACAAACACAACUGCAUUCAGAUCGGGUCCAAGCUUUGUGCUUUUGGUAGUGUGCCAAUACUUCCUUCUACACUUAGCUUUUUCCUUGCCUUCGUUGUUUUUUUGGGUUGUUGUUGUUGUUUUUUUCCUUCUUACGUUAAGCAUGGGAGUUGGUGGAGAAUGAAAACUAGAGUAAGUUUAAGCACUUAUCCUUUCUUAUCCAUUGUACCCAGUCUAGUAGCAUUUCUCCUUAGACACACAAUUCAUUGCUGCAGCAGUUUAUAUGUAUAUUUGAAGCUUAGCUAUGUGUGCAUCACACUGCAGGCCAUGGGAAACCUACUGUGUAUGGAGCAGAUGAUAUGUGAACUCACUGACAGGGCUAAGGCACUGAGCACCUGGUUUGUGAUAGGAGCUGACAGUAGAGUAAGGAAAGUGAUUUGUGUUUUAUUACGCCUUGAAAUAAUGGAUCCCUUCCCCCUCCCAGUGCUUUCUUCUCAGGCAAACUUGUAGCAUCUGAAUCUAGCAAGCUUGCAGAACUUUUCCUUUGCCAUAUGGUUGUCUUAAAAGAUGAAUUUCUCCCUGAGGACAUUUGGGCAAGGUGAGGAGAGAGAUUGAUCAUUUCCAGAUGCUCUUUGCUGGCAGGCAAAGAAAAACUGUUUCAGGUAAUGUUUGUGAAUAUGUUUCCAAAAUAUCCAUUUUGUAUGCAAAUCAGGCAGGGAGAGUACAAGCCAGCAUGACAGACAUCCUAAAAGUGCCUGAGAUGCAUAGGUUUGUGUUAUCAUGGUUGCAUGGUUACUGGGAGGCUCACCCCUGCUGACCUUUGGAGCUUCCCUUUUGUGUUUCCUAUUUCCAAGCAGAGAAGGGAGGUAUUUUUCAUACAGAAAUACAGAGGCCACGCUCAGUGUCCUCGUUAGACAAAUCACCCAGCAUUCGUUGCUUUGAAGUGGAAUCAGGCAGGUAAGAAUCCAUCACUCAUCUUUCAUUUGAUGCUUUGGGUGCCUUUUCUGGUAAGCUUCCUAAAUACUGCAUGCUGGCAUGACUUGGCAAAUGACAGUGAAUUAGUCAAAAGGCUUCUGGGGAGUACCCUGCAUUACAGAAGCAGAGAGACCUGAUGGUUUUUAUGUUAUCUGAGACAGUAGACAGAUGGGGAGAGUGAUGGUGCAUUAGUACCCUCUGCUUGGUGCACUCCAUUUCAGUCUCUUGCAGAGCACAAGCAGGACUCGCACAGCAGCAACUGGAGUCACUGCUGCUUCUGACUGUGCACAAGAAGUCGAUACUUACUUCGAUGCUGACUCUCUUGCCUGGCAGCAAUGUCCUGUCUCUAAUGACUACAAUUUGAUGACUUCUAAAUGGUGAACACUGAGAACCAACCGGUCCUGUAAGAGACCCCGAUGUCUGGAAGCAACAGCCGCCCCUCAGUCCGGUGGCGCCUGUUGACACGUCAUGCUGUAACGCACACUCCACAGGAAGGAAGAUAAGGUGGCAUUUCAGAGAUGUUCAUACCAUAGGAUGCCCACUGCUUGGGAUGAGGAGCAGGGUGGCUGUCAGCACUUCCAUCUCAGGAGCUGUUUUUGGUAGCGGCCAUGGGGAAAGCCAAAGAAGUCAAGCACUGAGAGAUGAAGACAAAGAACAAACAUUAUAAGGGACACAGAUUAAUAAAAGAAGCUUGGCCACACUACCUCCCCAUAAGCGACUGCCGUUUGUGUUAUCACAGUGCUGAAGGAGAGCUGGGAGUGAGCUGUCAGCAGAUGGGCCUGCUGAAGCGAAUCACGUUCUGCACUGCGUGCUCUGCAGCUCCCGAACAAAAUGGGCUAAGCAGGAAACAAAAGCUGGGCUUUGACUCCUGCUGCACUGGCUCAAGCAGGACACGUGGCAGGACGGGCCCAG
This 2305-nucleotide long non-coding RNA is filed under the name Gallus gallus (chicken). Its description in RNAcentral is "long non-coding RNA NONGGAT008936". The record is from RNAcentral. Lineage: Eukaryota; Metazoa; Chordata; Aves; Galliformes; Phasianidae.